GUUUUAUUUUCAAGUUCAAUACAUGAUUUGAAUAACUGUAAUAAAUGAAACAUUGUUAAUAAAUCACAUGUAUAUGUUACUAGACAAUUACUUGUAUAUAACAUGUAUAAAUUGGGACCUUUAGAGAAGGAAAAAAACCUUAUGUUUUAUGAUCAUGAUAUAAUCAUUUUGCUUUUGACUGCUUAGAAGAAUUUUUAAUUAUAACCUACAAUAAUAAUAUUAAAACAUACAUUACAAAAAAUGCAUUAUCAACAAUUAAA
RNAcentral lists this long non-coding RNA (260 nucleotides) under Mytilus galloprovincialis (Mediterranean mussel). The record is from RNAcentral. Lineage: Eukaryota; Metazoa; Mollusca; Bivalvia; Mytilida; Mytilidae.